UUUAUCGUUCUAAUUAAUAAAUAAAUUAAAAUAAAAUAAAUUACAAACGUUUUGACUGUACAUAGUCUUCUUUAGUGUAAAUUAACAUAUCGACUAAUACGAAAAUAAAUGAUACCGUGAGAAUACAUUCAUUAAGACAAUAACAAUGCAUUGUGUAUAUAAUAACAAUAUUGAUAAAAUCAACUUAUUUAAACGUUAUGACAAGCAUCAAUUGUUUUCAUGUUUAAGUACAAUCUAGAAAUCUUUUUUUGACUGCAUUCACUCCUUAGGAUAUACCAUAUAUGGAGGAAAGAAUUCUUUUCUGAUUCCAUCGUUGAAAAGCGUGGAAUUAUCCGAGAUUCCAAUUAUUAUUUUUGAAGCUUUCGCGGCCAUUGGAAUUAUCAAUGCAAAAGGUUUUCGGAUGGAUGCCGCGUGAUUGAACAGCUUAAUGCCGACGUUUUGCAAACAUUGCAGUUUGCAUCUUCAGAAAAUAGAAAUAAAACAGAAUAAGCAGCUCCUCUUUCUAGACGUGUUAAUUAAAAAGAACGAAGACGACACCUUAAGCCAUCGGGUUUAUUAAAAACCAACACAUACGGAUCGUUACUUCCAUGCCAUUUCUCAUCAUCACCCGACUUAGAAGAAUUCUGUCAUCGGUUCAUUAAUAUACAGAGCCUUAACAAUUUCUUAAUCAACUUCCCUGAAUGAAGAAUUAGAACAUUUCAACCAAGUCUUGACCAAGAAUAGAUACAACAGCAAAAACAUCAAUCGAACUGAAAGGCUGAAAAACUAAAUCCAGUAUUCAGUUCUACAAAUAUUGCUACAUUGAAUGAAUAAGAAGAUAAAAAAUGAACGAUCCUUUCGUAUCUUGUGACGUGGCGUUUUUUGGUGAGCGCCGUCACAAGGGCUAUCAUCUGGCCGAGGGGAAAAACUGUCCUGGGGGUCGUCCCUCAUUCCUUGGGGAAAAACAACCCCGCGUUACCGAUUUGAGUCUUAUUUCGUUAUAAAUUAUUUUUGUUUGAGUCAGUAAACAGCCAUCGAAGGUCGUAACGAUUAUCUGAGUGCGGUGAGAUUCUAACUAAGUAAGAUACUAAUUGUAUAGCAAGUUACCGAGGAAUAAGAAGAGGGAGUCAAAGGACGAUUACCGUGUCAAGGAUGGAUUCCGGGAGCCAAGGUCAUGUAUCGCGUUCCCGCUGAUCACGCUAUUCCCCAUAUUGCGUAUCGAAUUAACGAUCCUCCCUAAUUUCAGCAAGCUAUCACCGGGCUAUCAGCGUGGAUCAUACCUUGCUGCAGAAUGGGUAGACCCCGCGGAUUCGUAUAUACCACGUCAGAAGAGGCCUGGAAGACGGCCCGGUCAGCUGAUCUAGAGCCUACCCCUGGAUACCGUGUACCGGCUAACAUCAGCGACAACAGGGAAUGUCAAUCAGAAAUCGAUGGGCAGAUUGAAUCAACCUCCUCCCCCUCACCAGCCAACUAUUGAGGGGAUGCGCAAAGAAUCAGCGCGGAGCGCGAAGGACCUCACGACGCUCCAGGAGAGGAUUAUUGUUCGGCACAACGUAAACUGGAAAAGAUGACUCCUCAGGACGACCCUGAACACUCCGCCUAUGAAGAUUAAACUGUAAACCGCCACUCAGACAAGUCGUGUAAAAUGUAUAAAUCCAAGUUAGACUGGGGUCGUAACUCGAGGAUAUCGGGUACCGGUGUGGAGUAAUUACCAUUUUUCCUGUUAUUAUACAUCUUUUCUCUAUUAGAGUGUAGUUACCGCGAGAUCAGCCUAUCUCGGAAUUCGCGAAUGUAUCCCUCCCAGGACUGCCGUCCGGCAGUCGUAUCGUUUAACGUAUCGUUUAUCGUUUUGUAUCGUUUCGUAUGAGAACGUGUAAAUCGUUGAGAGCCGGAAUUCGCGCACAGGCGUUCUCCGCGAAUAAAGUGUCGUAGUUAAGCCUCUGCGAGAAUCAUUCGGAUUUGCGAAAUUACCGCGUGAUCCUCCAUUACCGUUCGUAUAUCAAAAAUCGGAUUCAGUCGUUUUGUUGUUCUAUUACGGAGUUAUUUUGGUUAAUCAAUGUAAAACAUACUUGCAAUAUUAAUAAGAAUAUUUGUCAGUCAGCUCU
This is a long non-coding RNA of Nylanderia fulva, 2084 nucleotides long. RefSeq lists it as uncharacterized. The record is from RefSeq and is a predicted model, not a curated record. Lineage: Eukaryota; Metazoa; Arthropoda; Insecta; Hymenoptera; Formicidae.